AAUACGUAGGGGGCAAGCGUUGUCCGGAAUUAUUGGGCGUAAAGCGCGCGCAGGCGGUUCUUUAAGUCUGGUGUUUAAACCCGAGGCUCAACUUCGGGUCGCACUGGAAACUGGGGAACUUGAGUGCAGAAGAGGAGAGUGGAAUUCCACGUGUAGCGGUGAAAUGCGUAGAUAUGUGGAGGAACACCAGUGGCGAAGGCGACUCUCUGGGCUGUAACUGACGCUGAGGCGCGAAAGCGUGGGGAGCAAACAGGA
This 255-nucleotide ribosomal RNA is filed under the name uncultured prokaryote. RNAcentral describes it as "partial 16S ribosomal RNA". It matches the Rfam family "Bacterial small subunit ribosomal RNA", at positions 522 to 777 of the family's 1533-position model. The record is from RNAcentral.